RNAcentral lists this ribosomal RNA (519 nucleotides) under uncultured bacterium. RNAcentral's name for it is "partial 16S ribosomal RNA". It matches the Rfam family "Bacterial small subunit ribosomal RNA", at positions 28 to 507 of the family's 1533-position model. The record is from RNAcentral.
GACGAACGCUGGCGGCGUGCCUAAUACAUGCAAGUCGAGCGAGUCUGCCUUGAAGAUCGGAGUGCUUGCACUCUGUGAAACAAGAUACAGGCUAGCGGCGGACGGGUGAGUAACACGUGGGUAACCUGCCCAAGAGAUCGGGAUAACACCUGGAAACAGAUGCUAAUACCGGAUAACAACAGAUGAUGCCUAUCAACUGUUUAAAAGGUGGUUCUGCUAUCACUCUUGGAUGGACCUGCGGUGCAUUAGCUAGUUGGUAGGGUAACGGCCUACCAAGGCGAUGAUGCAUAGCCGAGUUGAGAGACUGAUCGGCCACAUUGGGACUGAGACACGGCCCAAACUCCUACGGGAGGCAGCAGUAGGGAAUCUUCCACAAUGGACGCAAGUCUGAUGGAGCAACGCCGCGUGAGUGAAGAAGGGUUUCGGCUCGUAAAGCUCUGUUGUUGGUGAAGAAGGACAGGGGUAGUAACUGACCUUUGUUUGACGGUAAUCAAUUAGAAAGUCACGGCUAACUACGUG